AUGAACAUCUUUCACCAAUCUACUUGACUUUACAUCCUAAUGCAAGUAGGACAUGUUUGAUGUCCUUCAUGCUAAUAUGACGUCACAUGACAUGCAUAAGCUAUAAGGAAGGGAGUUGUCCUUCACUCCAUGGAACACAACUACAGGACUGAAAUUGUAAAGCGAGAAGGACACAGACAGAUGAAGACCAUGAAGCUGAGAAGGCGCAGGAAGCUGAGAAGGCGCGGAGAGAGGGGGCCAGGCCAAAGAAAAAGUUCAAAUAAGUCCGCAGAGGAGGGAGCAGUGAGCGCCAUCUACUGCGCCGUGUCGGAGGAAGCAGAAGAAGUACUUUGACAGCGACUGUUCCCUGGUCCUCCCCCCCCCUAGCUCGGGACCCGGCCCUCGCUGCCAAGGACUUUGACAUCUGCCAGAGACUGACCUCCAGGUUGUGAUGAAAGCCUCUUGAUAACAGGAAGGAGUCAAAGUCUAUGUUCUUUAUGCCUUCUCUGACAUCUCAUCACAACAAAUCCAUUGUAAAAAAGAAAAUAUUUGAUAUACUUUUGUGUACUUUUCUUAUUCAAAUGUCUGAUGUGAUUUAUGACUCCUCUGGUGGUGUGUUGUCAACAACUGGGCCAUGAGUGAAAGUACAAGAACUUCCCUUUAUUGAGUGAUUUGACAAGAAAAGAUGCUUUUUGAAGAAGUGUGUCCUUCAGCGCUGCACUACUUGGCUGCAGAGACAAAUUGAUAUCAUUUUGUUGGCUAUUUUCUGUGGACUGCAGUACCUUUCUGUCGCUCCUCCACCAUUUCAUGGAUGAGCUCCUCCAGCACAGGAGCCACGUGGUCCAGCUGCUUGGGUGAAAGUCGCACCGUGAUGUCCACUGUUUUGUCCUACAAACACACACAUUUUGGUUGGACAAUGACACAAGUGUACACAAGGUUGUGCGCACACACCAGGUUGGUGGCGUGCUCAGCUGGAGGAAGUUGCUCCACGGUGACUUCUUCAAAGUGGCCAUCCUCCGACCGAGGCUCCAUGUCCUUCCUUCCCUCUCGCUCCUGCACAAUGGAGCACAUACACACGAUGUCACUUUGUUAUAGCACCACAAUACACCUAUAGUGUACAUAAAACACUGGUGAUAAUAAUAAACAUUAUGAUUAUAUUUUAA
This is a long non-coding RNA of Entelurus aequoreus (snake pipefish), 1142 nucleotides long. RefSeq lists it as uncharacterized. The record is from RefSeq and is a predicted model, not a curated record. Lineage: Eukaryota; Metazoa; Chordata; Actinopteri; Syngnathiformes; Syngnathidae. The transcript is spliced from 3 exons.